Oncorhynchus kisutch (coho salmon) is the source of this 1783-nucleotide long non-coding RNA. RefSeq lists it as uncharacterized. NCBI's taxonomy places the organism in Eukaryota, Metazoa, Chordata, Actinopteri, Salmoniformes, Salmonidae. The transcript has 3 exons. The record is from RefSeq and is a predicted model, not a curated record.
ACACACACAUUACGAACAUCAUGCAUUGUUCCUCCAUCCUUCUCUCUCCCUGUCUCUGUGUCGGAAGGCAGAUUGGGGCACAGGGCUGACACUACAGGGAACCCAUAGCGGAGAACUGCCAGUGAGCAGUUGGGAGCCCUUGUUGAAGUGCCGCUCCUCAAACACGGCAGGAGGAUCCUAGUUGAGUGACUAAGAGCGCCGUCCAUGUGACUGGAUAGGUGCUGCUAGGAUAGUGGCUUGGAUGGUGAUACUGUGGUAUGUAAGCCACUGCAGUGGUGAACAUGGUUGUUGUGUGAUUGUGUCAAUCAGAAGGGUAUUUGAUUGUAUGACUCUGUUUGUUUGUCGUUGGUACAGAUGCGCAGUUUGUGCUGAAGAGACUUGCUGCCAGUGCCAUUGACCUGUACGCCAUGGUGGUCGUCCUGUCUCAGUAUAAAUUAUUACACUGCUACACACAUACGCAAUCUCUGUCUCUGUACCUCAAACGUUCGUCAUCACACUGUGCGUGUUUGUUUGGUGGACUUCGGUUUAAACCAACCCCUCUGUUUCAGAGGUGUUGAGUUAAAUGUGGAAGACACAUUUUGAUUGAAUGCGUUCAGUUGUGCAACUGACUAGGUUAUCCCCUUUCCUUCUUUCCUCUCCCAGGGUGUCAUGUUCCCUGAGUCAGGGCUAUCCCUCUGCCCAGCAUGAGAAGAUGUUGUGUGACAGCUGGUAUUUUGAGAUGUGCAGGCCCGUGAGAGGAUUAUGCAGAACAUCAAGACUCUGCGCACCCGCAAUGCCGAGCAGAUCUUCAAGAACCUGAGGGCCAUCUCUACAGUUGUGGAGGAAAACGGAGGAGCGGUCUCCCCUCUGGCUCUGGGCUUCUAAAUGCCCCCUCUCAUCCCUGUUCUUAGCUCUCCCUCCUCUCUUUAUUGCCUCUCCCUCCCUACUCUUUACAUCUCCCCUUUCCACUCACUCUUUAACUACAGCCACACUCUGAUUCUCUUACAUUCCGACCUCCACCUCUGACCUCCUUCUCAAACUUUCACCUCUGCUCUGUGCAUUUUAUAUCCGUUAUAUCAUCCUCCAUAUAGUGCCAAGGGACUGAAUAUGACACCCGAUUCCAUCCUGAGAAAUGUAUACUUGUUUUUAUUAAUUGGCCAACGCAAUGACAGUACUGUCAAUGUGUCUCGAAUCUGUAAUCCAAUUCUGGAACUUGAGGUUGGAGCUCCUAAAUGCACCAUGAAUGUUAAAGCUCAUAUGUAUGUGACUGUCCGCAUCGCCAGUAAGCUGAAUGUGUUAACUUGUGUUUAUAGAAUUAUUUAAGUCAAUGAGACACAGAGACUUUAAGCAUUCCUCCCAUAGCCGUUCUAUGGAUAAUUUAAAAUGAAGGCUAUUUUGUUUAGAUACAUUGAUGUAUUGAAAGCUGGGCUUCUAUGUGUAUCUUCAUGCCUUUUUGUGUGAUUAGUUAGUCCUGCUUAGUUUCAGUCCAUAUUAAUUCAUACGGUGCAUGCAACAACUUAACCCGUUAGGUUAUAAAAUCUUUGCUUUGGAAACAAAUCGCAAAAUGCUGUGCAGUACCUCUUUGUGACUUGAUUUUGAGAAAGAACUACACGUUAGCUAGAAAUUCAAAUGACUUUCAUAGUUUCUUAAACAGGAAAUGUUUUCUGUAGAGUUAAUGUGCUGGUAAUGUCAUUCCUUCACAUCUACCAUUACUAUGACCAAAGUUCAGCCGUUUCCUCAGCUAAAAUUAUUAUUAGCUCAAUAAACUGUAAUAGGGUCUAAUCAAAUCAAAGUGUAUUUGUCA